UGUUCGCCACUGCAAUAAUGAACAGGUGAAAAAAUUGAGGCUUUGACCAAUUUAGAUAAUUUCUAAGAUAUAUAUUUGCAAGUAAAAAAUUGAUAAAACAAAAUUCAGAGAUGGGUAAGAUUUUCGUAAUGAAAAGUAAAACAAAAUUCAAAAUCCAAAUAAAAAAACAACUUUUGGUUGAUGUAUAAAAUGGCUAAUCUAUUGCUGAUGGUACUUCAUAGAUUAUAAGGCAGUAGCAGUUUUAAAGACUGGCCAUGCGAAUUUUGCCAUCAAUCUCUCCAUACACCUCAGGUCCUUAAAAUUCUUGAGGAUAAAAAAAAUAUAUAGAAAAUGCUUCCAUCAAUGAAAACUGUGCAGUAUAGAGAGAAUGUACUGUUGGAAAUGCCUUUAAAAAAAAAAAAACUGUUGGAAAUCAUUCCAAUGCAAUCAGCCACCCUUAGUUUCCCUUUCCCAUAAUUUAAUCAAAUGAGACUCUCAACAGUUUUUUAUGUUUGUGGUUCUCUCCAAAAUAGAGAACAGAUAAUAAUCACUUUUUGAUCAGUUUUUUGGAUUCCACUAAAUAUUAAAUUACUAUUAAGUAGUCACAAUUUAAACAAAAUUGCUGGUGUGAUUUAGUUACAUGUAGCUAAAUGUCUCCAAACUCUGAAAGUAUACAGAAGAACAAUCCUUGUAGUUUGAGAAACAUAAUAAAGAAAUGUUUAAAAACUGUUAUUGCUAUGAUAGAAUAAGUAACAAAAUGUUCUCCUUCAUGCUGUAAACAAUACAAAUCAGAUCUUAAGAUGCUAUCACCUGGGGCAUUCAGUUUUACUUAUUGUAAGGUGUGGAUUUUGUGUAAAAGAAGUGCAUAUAUAACAAUACAGUCUGCAUUAGUAUUUACUUAUUUUUCGUAGUUAUUUUGGUUUUUUACCGGCGUCUUUAACUAUAACCUCAGCUCUAUUUAUUGGUCUGAGCAAGCACAAAUUUGACUGCAACAGUAAACAGUUCUGAAUCAAAUAGGGUACUUACCGUUGAAGAAGAAGGACGACUAAGAAGAACUUGAUGCUGUUGAGCUUGAAUUCAAACAGAUUAAAAAGGACUGGACGAUUAGAAAUUCAAAAUCCAAUCAGAAAAAUUGAAAAAAAAAUUCAGCAGAAUUUAGAACCAAUCGUAUUUGCUUCAAAUACAGGGAAGAUAUUAAGACUACAAAAAAAAUCCUAGAUGGUAAAUACACUGCCAAGGAUGCAAUAUCUAAUAGAUUCAGGAGUGAUGAUUGUAUAUAAAAAUUAAAGGAAUACAAUUCUGCAAAAAUACAAUAGAUUCAACAAAAUCCAAACCACAGACCUCUGAGAGAUAGCCAUCACUGUCAGAGCUCUCUCCCAUUGAUUCACUGUCAUCUUCGCUAAAUAUUGUAUCAAGAGAAGUGUCUCCAAUAGCUAUAUCUUCAGAGUUUCUAGACAUGCCAAAACAAAAAAGUUAAGUAACCACUUCAUUGAAGAUUGAAUCUUAUUAUCAUUGUACUUCCACCAAGUACUAAAACUAAUUCACCAAAAAAUAAAGUCAAAUUUAGCAUUUCCAAAAAGAGUUGAGGCUUGGAAAGCGAAGUCAAUGGAGUUAUAUACCAGAAGCUUAUAGAAGGUAACCUCUUUUUGAAUAUAGCCUGGUGGAACUUGCUGUCCAGGCAUCUAUAAAUGGAUAAGAAGGCUGGAGUAUAUAGACUCCAUCCUUAUAUUAAAUGCUUUUAAUACGUAUUCUAGAGUUUAAUUCAAGUAACAAUGUAGCAAACGGAAGUCGUACGCCAAAAAAAAAACACUUUUCAUGAGAAUUUCUUCAGGUUAGAUUAAGCAGUGAUUUAAGGUAUUAUUGUAAGUAGAUUAAGCUAUAAAAAUUAUUGAAUUGAAUCAAGUUUGUAGGCGUACUUGGUAUCAAGAGAGAUUACCGAACAGGAGCAAUCAACAGACCUAAUCAAUUGAAGAAUGAUCCCAACUGAAAGAAUAAUCAGUAGAGCUAGAAGAGUACCUUUGUGCGAGAAUCGAGAUUCCUGGUGAUGAUGAUGAUGAUGAGAGGAGAGAGAUAGAGAUGGAAAACUUAAGAAGGAAAAGUUUGCUAUUGCUGC
This 2092-nucleotide long non-coding RNA is filed under the name Aquilegia coerulea. Its description in RNAcentral is "long non-coding RNA (ACOE_LNC001511)". The record is from RNAcentral. Lineage: Eukaryota; Viridiplantae; Streptophyta; Magnoliopsida; Ranunculales; Ranunculaceae.